Molecule: long non-coding RNA, 5468 nt
Filed under: Vigna radiata
Lineage: Eukaryota; Viridiplantae; Streptophyta; Magnoliopsida; Fabales; Fabaceae
Description: long non-coding RNA (VRAD_LNC005734)
Source: RNAcentral
AUUUUUCUAUUUUCGUCAAUAGCCUCACUCUUCAGUUAUCUUUUUCAUUUCCUUCGCAAAAUCCCUAAUUAGGUUUGCUGACAAUUCCGCCAUUUUUGCAGCUUCGACCCUUCAAUCGCACAAUGGAUUAGCUCUACCAACAGGAUGUGUGAUCCUUCUGCGCUAUUUGUCAGAACUCACAUUUCCUCUGACUCGUAAGCAUCAUUGCUUAAUUAUUGGCUAUUGGCUUUCCUCUUUCGCAGCGUGUCACUGUUUAUUUAAUAUGCAUAAUUGUGAUCUCUUGUUAUAUUUAUAUCGUAAUUAGCUUUACUUCUAAAGUUUUCUUCCAGGUCAAGAUUCUUUAUUUUUGGUAUUCACCAGGAUUAUAAAAAUGUCAACGAAUUUGAAGGAUCCUAAGCAUCUUAACAAACGGAAAAGCAUUGUGUUUUUAGGAUUUUAGGUAGGAAAGGAAAAGAAGAAAGGUAAGCUAAUGGAUAAUCUGAAAUUGAAAUUGCUAUUGAUUUGAUUCGAUGAUUAAGGGCAACUUAUAAUACAUCAAUCCCUAUUUAUACCAUACCAUCAUUGAUUAGAUUAGGAUACAUAUUUAAAUAUAGUGAAACACAGAAGCCAUUCUAAAGGUGAUCAUAUAUGAUACUCUUCAAUAUUCUAAAAUGCAAUAAUGAUAUUAUUAUUAGGUACGUUUAACACCCGAUAAAGCUCACUAAGCAUUUGGUUAGAAGUAAACACAUAAAAAAGGAAAGUAAUUCAUGUAUGUAGUAUACAUGGCUUGAAAGGCUAAUGAGGGGUACUAGAUAUGAAGGAGAGAUAGUAUUACACCAAAAUUAAGUUAGCAGGACCAUUUGAAUAAUAAUGAUUAUUGCCUGAAAAGCAGGUUGGAGUAUUGCUAGACCAGGGAGGAAGAAACUUCAAUGGAACAAUGGUUAGUGAAAAUUUACUGACAAACAAUAACACACAACCAAUGGAAACGUCUCUAACAUCACCACCACCACCGACAAUUUGAUUAAAACCAAUAUGAGAAUUAUGUCUUGGGCUGGUGUGAAUCAUAGCCUAUCUCUACCUGAUUAGAAACCAAUAGGCAGAGAAGUUGCCAUAAUAAAAAAUUAGAAAGAGCCUAAUUGUUAGAACUGAGAAUGUUUCUUACCAUCUUAUUAGUUACAUUCCAUGAAAGCAAAUAAGUGAAUAACCAUAUAGUUGGUCAGAAAGGAAAAGAGGAAAAUAGAUCAAACAAGUGAUUAAGGUUUAGCAGAUUACCCAGUGUUCAAGUUUUUUCAACGGUAGUCAUUGUUUUCCUACAAUGAUUAAUAUAUGAUAAUCAGUAUCAUGAUCUGAGAAGAUAAACUAGUGUUCAAUUUGAAUUUGAGAUGGAACUUUUAGCAUUAAUCGAGUGCUUAUGGGGUCCUUCAUAUGGUUUGGUUGUACACUUCAGCUGGCAGAGUUUUAUACUCUAUAUAUAAAUGUACAACUUUUAGUAUCUGUUGGAAGUGUUUAAGCUCUUUUGGUGUACAACUUCUAGUAUUAUCUGUGAGAACGUUUGAAGUUUUUAUAGUUUUUUUAUACGAAUUUGAUUACAACUUUUAGUAUGUGUUGGGAGCUUUUAGGCUCUUUAUAUGGUUUGACAUAAACUUUUAGUAUCCACUAAGAGUUUUAUACUCUUAAAUAGUUCGUGUACAACUUUUAGUACAUCUUAAAAGUUUUUAGACUUUUUACGUAGUUUGACGGAUAACUUACCGGACAGUGAUUGAUCUCUAUAUAUAAUUGGGCUGAUAAACUAUGAUUUACUAAUUUACAACUGAUAAAAUAAAAAUAAUUAUAAUUAAGUAGUUAAUUUAUAAUUUUUCAAACAAUGAAAAAUAUAUAUUAUUGAAUAAUAAUUGAGUUGUUAUUUUUAAUUUAUAGUUAUUAAUAUAAUUAAUAAAAUUACUAAUGAUAAAUAUUCUGUACAUGUUUGAAUGUGGUAGUUGCAAGUUUAUUUACCAAUUAUGUUGUUAUAUUUUAGUCGUAAACUAAAUGUAAAUAAAAAUAAUAUCGAAGGCUAUUAUCUUUUUGUGGCUGGUAUUUAUAAUUUGUACUUAAUACUAACAUAAGGAAAGUUUAGGGAUAAAUUUAAUUUUUCAUAAAAAGGUUUUUUAUAAGGCAACAACAAAAUGAAUUCUUUUGAAAAAAAGAAUUGAAUAAUGAAACGUGGCUUGAUAAUAAUAUUUUCAUGAAUCCAUAGUUGCGACAUGGACAUGCCCUUUGUGAUAAUUAUAUAUCUUAAAAACUUCGCAAUAUACACCACACAAGAAAAUUAUUAAAUAUAAAAAAUAACUAAUAAUUUACAAUAAUAAUUAAAUAUUAAUUUAUAAAUUAAAAAUUUAUUAAUAUUUAAAAUAGUUUGAAUAAAAAAUUAUAAUUAGGUUGUGAACUAAAAGUUAAAUUAAUUUUUAAUAUUAGAUACUAAGUUUUAACAAUUAAGAGUUUAAAUAUUAAUAUUUUUUAAUUUAUAAAUUAGUAUUUAAAUUAAUUAUAUUAAAGUUAUUGUUUAAUAAAUUUUUUUCUAGUGAUAUUACGGGAUAAAAUUAUAAUCUCAUAUAUCAACUAAGUCAAAUUUAAAAGUCAAAUAAAAUCAAGUUUGGAAAAUCUACACAUCUUAUUUUGUUUUUUUUCACACCUAAUAGAUAUAGGACUUAUUUGUUUUCUAUCUGUGAAGGGUUUAUUCUAUUUCAAAUAAAACUUAUUUGAUCAAAUUAGUACAUGGAAAUUAUUUAAAACUAUUUAUUUUAUAGUUUUAAAAAUAAUAGCAUGGUUACACCUAGUUUGGACACAGUCAGUUUUUUAUUAAACGAAAAUUAGUGUUUAAGUUUUUAUAAAAAAUUUAGAAAUUAAAAGAAAAAUGUAUUCAAAGACGUCCUUAGUGAUUAUAUGGUUUCUUUUCUGAAUUGAUUAUGUAUUAUGAAAUUAAAAAGUAUUAAAAAUCAAUGUACAAAUAAUAAUAAGUUAUAUACCUUGAUCAGGCGCCACAAAAUUAUUUCUAUUUAUGAAUAAUUUUGUAGCAAUACCAUAUUAUAUAAAAAAGGAACGUUAAAAGAUCCUAGUAUCAUAUAUAUGCAGCCUAAAUAUUCUAUCAUAUUUUGUUGGUGUAUUAGAGGCUAUGGUACAUAAUUCUACUUUGUGGCCCAAUUGCCACAUUUAUUUUGAGAUUCUGAAUAAUGAGUUAUUGUAUGCAUCUUGGAAAAGACAUAUGAUAUAUUAAUAAUUUUUUUAAUAAUUUGUGGACAAUAGAUUAUCAUUAUUUUAUUGGUAUAUACAUUUCAAAUGGAUCAAUUAUAAGUUAUCAUAUAAACUGUUACUAUAUAUUGUUGUAAAAAAAGUUGUAAAAAACAUUCUCCAUUUGGAAAGAUAGCAUUUACAUGAAAAGAAGUUCAAAUUGUAGUACAACUAACCUGAAGAGUGAGUGAAGAAGAAGCAUGAAUAUUAGAAUGUCAUGUCUAUUGAUCGAGUAAUUAUGUCUAAUAACUUUUUCGAUUGUUUAAUGAUAUUUGAUCAGUUACCUUGAAAUUGUUUAAUUUGUGACUUGUAAAUGCAAGUCACGAACACAAUCGUUUUGAAAAUUACAAUGGCUAAUAUUAUGAAUCACCACUCUUUUUAUAUAUAUAUAUAUAUAUAUAUAUAUAUAUAUAUAUAUAUAUAUAUAUAUUUUAGUCAUCUACAAUACUAUCACAAUGACAUUUAAUUAAUAAUAAUUGUGAAAAGACUUGCAUUCAACCAAUAUAAAAUGAUGAACACAACUUAAUUUUGUAUGAGACAAUUAUAUUUUAAUUUGAUUUGCAUAAUAUUUACAUGUAUAUGAAUAAGUAAUGAAGUUAAUAUUUUAAAUAAAAUAAAAUAAAAUAUAUAUACCAUUUUCUUUAUUGUUGCUUAUAUGUUGUAUAAGACCUUAGGGAAAAAUCCAAAUUUAAAUGUUAUUUUGUAUGUUGAAAUAUGACUUCCACAUAUCAAAUAUCAAACGUCUAUACAAAUAUAGAUCAAUUAGACAUGUUAGGAAUUUCAUCAAUACCAAUAAGCUUAUAUCAACUUUGUUUAAUAUUUUAUCAUAAACUUUAUGAUCCAUUUAAUAUAUUCAUCUCAACAAAUUUCUAAGCACAUAGUCAUUUUAGCAUAAUCAUAAUGUCAAAUAAAUUUGUACUAUAAAUUUAUAAUUUGAAAGAUAAUUUUACAUUUGAGAUUGACAUAUCCUAGACAAUGUAUGAGAAAGGUUAUUGGUUAAAGUAAAUAGACAAUAUUCAUGGACAAUGUCAUAAUCAAUCUUGCCUACAUCUUUUUCUCAAAAUUAGUGCAACUUCCCUAUGUGAAUCCUUCGAUGGUGUUGGAAUCAUCAAAUGUCAGAGUUUCAUGUCUCUUGAUACUGGUUGGACUUUCCUUGGUAACAUCUUGCUUAUGUUUUUUUUUUUUUUGGUAAUGGAUUAGGAAUCUUUCUUUUUGUAGAAUCUAGUGAAUCAAAGUGGUGCACUUCCUAGUAUCAUGGUUGUAGAUCCUAUAGAAUUUGAAUCAAGCAUUGUACUAUAGGUCUAGACUUUUAGUCAUUUUUGUUGGAAAUUGAAGUAACUUGAUUGUGUUGAUAUCUUUUAGUAACUCUUUCUAUGAGGUACUAGGAGGGGUUGAUUUGAAAUUAUAAUUGGGUGAUGUUCAUUGUAUGGUUAAUAACUUCAAUCAUAUGAUUUGUAAUGUGAAAAAUCCUUUAUUUCCAGGUCAUUCUUAUUAUCAUAGUUGAUGGAUCAUUUUAUCAUUGUUCAAGUCUUCUUUUAUUUUGUACAACUUUUUUUGUAAGUCAUCACCUUCUUAACUUUGAUACGAGAAGCAACUCGUGAUUGGACCUUCACCAUAAUGUUCACUCUUUUUUGUAUGAUAGAUUCAUUGAAUGGAUUGGAUUAAAGUUUUUUUAAUGAAGGCAUCUACAAACAUCUUCUAUUAGGUUGAAAGAUCAUCAUGGUGAUGCUUCAAGAAUGUAACGUGUAAUACUUUCUCCAUAUAUUUGCUUUACAUCGAACAAACCACCAAAUUUGGCCAAUUUUAUCUUAUUUGUAUCAAAUUGUGUCAUGAACAAGGUUUAAAGCUCUUCAAGAGAAGAAAAGAUUCAUCAUGUAGACCAUUGAACUAACCUAGGAAAUUUUUUGCUAGUGUUAUGAUGAACAUUUGCAUCUAUCUCGCAAGAGAUCAUCAUUUAGGAAACAAACUGCUUUGAGGUGAUUGAUUGAGUCUUUAAUUUUAGAACCACGUAAUGUGUGGUUACUAGUUCAUUAUCACAUCUUAUGUAAGGGAUUGAAAAUUUCGUUACUCCAUUGUCGACUCAAUUUUUUUAUAUUUUCCAAUUAGACAUUUGUUCUUUAAGGGUCAACUAGAGUUUGUCACUUUUUUGUUACAUUUGAUUAUGGGCCCACAAAGCUUCUUCAGUACACUUUUACUUCUUUAUACAAGAUCUUUUGUACUUG